GUGCAGCAGUCGCGAAAACUCCGCAAUACGCGGGAGCGUGACGGGGCCACCCCGAGUGCCGUCCGCUGAGGAUGGCUUUUCCCCAGUGUAGAUAGCUGGGGGAAUAAGGAGAGGGCAAGUCUGGUGUCAGCCGCCGCGGUAAUACCAGCUCUCCGAGUGGUAGGGACGAUUAUUGGGCUUAAAGCAUCCGUAGCCGGCUGGGCAAGUCCCCUGUUAAAUCUAACGAUUCAAUCGUUGGAUUGCGGGAGAUACUGCUGAGCUAGGAGGCGGGAGAGGCCGACGGUAUUCCCGGAGUAGGGGUGAAAUCCUAUAAUCCCGGGAGGACCA
Molecule: ribosomal RNA, 327 nt
Filed under: uncultured archaeon
Lineage: Archaea
Description: partial 16S ribosomal RNA
Rfam family: Archaeal small subunit ribosomal RNA
Source: RNAcentral